AGUGAACGCUGGCGGUAGGCCUAACACAUGCAAGUCGAACGGCAGCACAGGAGAGCUUGCUCUCUGGGUGGCGAGUGGCGGACGGGUGAGGAAUACAUCGGAAUCUACUCUGUCGUGGGGGAUAACGUAGGGAAACUUACGCUAAUACCGCAUACGACCUACGGGUGAAAGCAGGGGACCUUCGGGCCUUGCGCGAUUGAAUGAGCCGAUGUCGGAUUAGCUAGUUGGCGGGGGAAAGGCCCACCAAGGCGCCGAUCCGUAGCUGGUCUGAGAGGAUGGUCAGCCACACUGGAACUAAGACACGGUCCAGACUCCUACGGGGGGCAGCAGUCGGGAAUAUUGGACAAUGGGCGCAAGCCUGAUCCAGCCAUACCGCGUGGGUGAAGAAGGCCUUCGGGUUGUAAAGCCCUUUUGUUGGGAAAGAAAUCCAGCUGGCUAAUACCCGGUUGGGAUGACGGUACCCAAAGAAUAGGCACCGGCUAACUUCGUGCCAGCAGCCGCCGCCG
This 506-nucleotide ribosomal RNA is filed under the name uncultured bacterium. RNAcentral's name for it is "partial 16S ribosomal RNA". It matches the Rfam family "Bacterial small subunit ribosomal RNA", at positions 29 to 523 of the family's 1533-position model. The record is from RNAcentral.